GACUCUCGGCAACGGAUAUCUUGGCUCCCGCCACGAUGAAGAACGUAGCGAAAUGCGAUACUUGGUGUGAAUUGCAUUGCAGAAUCCCGUGAAUCAUCGAGUUUUUGAACGCAAGUUGCGCCCGAGGCCAUUCGGCCAAGGGCACGUCUGCCUGGGCAUCA
Nymphaea colorata (pocket water lily) is the source of this 161-nucleotide ribosomal RNA. RefSeq annotates it as 5.8S ribosomal RNA. The record is from RefSeq and is a predicted model, not a curated record. NCBI's taxonomy places the organism in Eukaryota, Viridiplantae, Streptophyta, Magnoliopsida, Nymphaeales, Nymphaeaceae. The transcript has a single exon.